GGAGAAAUGGCAGAGUGGUUGAUUGUGGCGAUCUCGAAAAUCGUUUUAGCUUAAGCUAACGAGGGUUCGAAUCCCUCUUUCUCCG
RNAcentral lists this transfer RNA (85 nucleotides) under Cosmarium ochthodes. Its description in RNAcentral is "tRNA-Ser". It matches the Rfam family "tRNA". From Rfam's summary of the family: Transfer RNA (tRNA) molecules are approximately 80 nucleotides in length. The record is from RNAcentral. Lineage: Eukaryota; Viridiplantae; Streptophyta; Zygnematophyceae; Desmidiales; Desmidiaceae.